AAAUCUUUAAGUUUUAAUAUGUGUAAGCAACUUUUUUCUCGAUAAUUAUUCUAUGUUUACUGGUUUUAAAUUAUGAACGCCAUUGUUUAGUUUGAUUUAUGCUUAGAUUCUGACUGCAUUGAUACUACCUUUGGUAUCCCAACUUGUUGCCGUGAUAAGUGGUCAUUUGAAGCACAUCCACCCAUUGCUUUUUUUAGAAUGUGUUUUGUCUUCGUGAUUGAUGCUUUCCAAUUUCUUUAAAUAAGGCAAAUCCGUAAAUUUCCGUAAAUGAAAAUCAUUUACUGUCAUAUCUCAAAAUUUUAGGUUUACUAUGUGUAUAAAUUAUUUAGUAUUACUUUUUCUUAUCUCCUUAUUGUUCUUUUCUUCUUUGUAAACAAUACAUCAUAUAAUUCCUACAAAGGGAUAUGUUUGCUAGGAUGAAAUUUCCAUUCUUAAGCCUGGUAUGCGGUAAGGUGUCUCUACAGUGGUGAUAUAAACAACUUCCGCAGGGUCUAGUCUUUCAGGUGCACUGAGCUGUUUUAUAUCCAAAACUUAUGUCGGAUAGAGCCUUUCCAUCCUUUUUGUUGGCCACCUGAUUACAAUCCUGUUCCACAUGAUAAGCUUUUCCCCAGGAUCAAAUAUUUCCGUCUGCAGUGCAGACUGAAUGUGAAACCAUAAAUAGCCAUUCCAGUUGUCUAGGGCAGAAAUAUAUGAAAUAUUCUUCUUCUGUCAGCUCACUCUUUGUGUAGGCAAUCCUAUAUUGGAUUUACAACCGCAUCUAUAAGUCUUGUCUUUCAU
This 777-nucleotide unclassified non-coding RNA is filed under the name Hevea brasiliensis (rubber tree). The record is from RNAcentral. Lineage: Eukaryota; Viridiplantae; Streptophyta; Magnoliopsida; Malpighiales; Euphorbiaceae.